GUGGUGAUCCUCUAUGAUAUAAAACUGGAAAUUUGUGGUGAUCCUCUAUGAUAUAAAACUGGAAAUUGGUGGUGAUCCUCCAUGAUAUAAAACUGGAAAUUUGUGGUGAUCCUCCAUGAUAUAAAACUGGAAUUGGUGUUGAUCCUCUAUGAUAUAAAACUGGAAUUGAUAUUGAUAUUGUUGAGUUAUUGUUUUUUUUUAUAAUCGUGCUCGUUGUGUGUUUGAUCGUACAAAGAUGAUUUAUGUUUUGACUAUUUUCUUGUGUCAUUUUAAGUUCAG
RNAcentral lists this long non-coding RNA (279 nucleotides) under Trifolium pratense (red clover). RNAcentral's name for it is "long non-coding RNA (TPRA_LNC010613)". The record is from RNAcentral. Lineage: Eukaryota; Viridiplantae; Streptophyta; Magnoliopsida; Fabales; Fabaceae.